RNAcentral lists this transfer RNA (73 nucleotides) under Palpitomonas bilix. Its description in RNAcentral is "tRNA-Thr". It matches the Rfam family "tRNA". Rfam says of the family: Transfer RNA (tRNA) molecules are approximately 80 nucleotides in length. Their secondary structure includes four short double-helical elements and three loops (D, anti-codon, and T loops). The record is from RNAcentral.
GCCGAUUUAGUUCAAUUGGUAGAACGUAAGUUUUGUAAGCUUAAAGUUGUUGGUUCAAGUCCGACAAUCGGCA